This 473-nucleotide ribosomal RNA is filed under the name uncultured bacterium. RNAcentral describes it as "bacterial SSU rRNA". It matches the Rfam family "Bacterial small subunit ribosomal RNA", at positions 28 to 507 of the family's 1533-position model. The record is from RNAcentral.
GAUGAACGCUAGCUACAGGCUUAACACAUGCAAGUCGAGGGGCAGCAUGAACAUAGCUUGCUAUGUUUGAUGGCGACCGGCGCACGGGUGCGUAACACGUAUCCAAUCUACCCAUGGCUCGGGGAUAGCCUUUCGAAAGAAAGAUUAAUACCCGAUGGUCUCGGUUUAAGGCAUCUUAGACUGAGUAAAGAUUUAUCGGCGAUGGAUGAGGAUGCGUAUGAUUAGGUAGUAGGCGGGGUAACGGCCCACCUAGCCUUCGAUCAUUAGGGGUUCUGAGAGGAAGGUCCCCCACACUGGAACUGAGACACGGUCCAGACUCCUACGGGAGGCAGCAGUGGGGAAUAUUGGGCAAUGGGCGAAAGCCUGACCCAGCAACGCCGCGUGAAGGAAGAAGGUCUUCGGAUUGUAAACUUCUUUUAUGAGGGACGAAGAACGUGACGGUACCUCAUGAAUAAGCCACGGCUAACUACGUG